UACGUAGGAGACGAGCGUUGUCCGGAGUUACUGGGCGUAAAGGGUGCGCAGGUGGCGGCGCGCGUGGGGGGUGAAAUCGCCCGGCUUAACUGGGCGGGGGCCUUCCAGACGGCGUGGCUUGAGCAGCGGAGGGGGACGUGGAAUUCCGGGUGGAGCGGUGAAAUGCGUAGAGAUCCGGAGGAACACCGACGGCGUAGGCAGCGCCCUGGACGACACCUGACGCUGAGGCACGAAAGCUGGGGGAGCGAACAGG
This 253-nucleotide ribosomal RNA is filed under the name uncultured bacterium. RNAcentral describes it as "partial 16S ribosomal RNA". It matches the Rfam family "Bacterial small subunit ribosomal RNA", at positions 524 to 776 of the family's 1533-position model. The record is from RNAcentral.